GCGGUGUUGGUUUAGUGGUAGAACACGUCCUUGCCAAGGAUGAGACAGGAGUCCGAUUCUCCUACGCCGCACAA
Molecule: transfer RNA, 74 nt
Filed under: Candidatus Nomurabacteria bacterium
Lineage: Bacteria; Candidatus Nomuraibacteriota
Also listed under: 1 other name
Description: tRNA-Gly
Rfam family: tRNA
About the family: Transfer RNA (tRNA) molecules are approximately 80 nucleotides in length. Their secondary structure includes four short double-helical elements and three loops (D, anti-codon, and T loops).
Source: RNAcentral